CGUCUGUACACAGGCACACGCGCCAGCACGCUCGCUCCCGCUCUGGCUGAUUAUAUAUGUACAUAAAAUAUUGAUUAGAAAUGGUAAUGGAGUCACCUACAGGAUCGGCUACGGGAAAAUGAAAACGGAAGAGAGAAAGAAGGUGAAAGGCAGCCGGAAGAAGAAGGAGGGAGUGACAAAAAGGAAGAUGAUCCACUGCCA
This 201-nucleotide long non-coding RNA is filed under the name Dasypus novemcinctus (nine-banded armadillo). RNAcentral's name for it is "lncRNA (ENSDNOG00000052980.1)". Lineage: Eukaryota; Metazoa; Chordata; Mammalia; Cingulata; Dasypodidae. The record is from RNAcentral.